RNAcentral lists this ribosomal RNA (497 nucleotides) under uncultured bacterium. Its description in RNAcentral is "partial 16S ribosomal RNA". It matches the Rfam family "Bacterial small subunit ribosomal RNA", at positions 28 to 507 of the family's 1533-position model. The record is from RNAcentral.
GAUGAACGCUGGCGGCGUGCCUAAUACAUGCAAGUCGAGCGAACAGACGAGGAGCUUGCUCCUCUGACGUUAGCGGCGGACGGGUGAGUAACACGUGGAUAACCUACCUAUAAGACUGGGAUAACUUCGGGAAACCGGAGCUAAUACCGGAUAAUAUAUUGAACCGCAUGGUUCAAUAGUGAAAGACGGUUUUGCUGUCACUUAUAGAUGGAUCCGCGCCGCAUUAGCUAGUUGGUAAGGUAACGGCUUACCAAGGCAACGAUGCGUAGCCGACCUGAGAGGGUGAGCGGCCACACUGGAACUGAGACACGGUCCAGACUCCUACGGGAGGCAGCAGUAGGGAAUCUUCCGCAAUGGGCGAAAGCUUGACGGAGCAACGCCGCGUGAGUGAUGAAGGUCUUCGGAUCGUAAAACUCUGUUAUUAGGGAAGAACAAAUGUGAAAGUAACUAUGCACGUCUUGACGGUACCUAAUCAGAAAGCCACGGCUAACUACGUG